Molecule: non-coding RNA, 1447 nt
Organism: Pelodiscus sinensis (Chinese soft-shelled turtle)
Lineage: Eukaryota; Metazoa; Chordata; Testudines; Trionychidae
Source: RefSeq, a predicted model, not a curated record
ACCUGGAGUAGAGGGUUGGCCUGGGUUCCCAUAAAAGGUACUGGGGGAAGUGGCAUAGCUUUCAUAGAGUGGGGAAAAUACCCUCAGAGGCAAGCUGAUGAAACUUUCUCCUGGAAGGAGAAAACACAAGGAGGGAAGGCCUUGAUUUACAGAGACGAAGCCUUGCAACUCCUGCGGUGUGAGAGGGGUUGCAGACAAGAAGAAAACCAGAAAGACCUCAGAUGAGAUAGAGCUGUCUCCCAGACAUGCCAGAAGGUGGUGCCCCUGUGAUGAGUCAAGUACCCUGUGACUGGAAAUCAAGAAGAACUGUUCCACUGGAGUUCAGUUGGCAGCAAUGCUCCCUUCGCACAGAAAUAGCUCUCCGCUGAAGGGCUUCUAGAAAUUGGUCAUUAUUUUGGGGAGAAGUUUGGAUACAUCAGUGGACCUGUACCAAUUCACACCAACGGAGAAUCUGAACCAAUGUGUUAGCUGAAAAUGAGAUGUUGACUGACUUCUUUGCUCUUUAUGAUUUGUGUUCAUGGGCUAUGCAGUCUAGCAAUAUUAACUUUAAAUUAGCUAAGUUGUUUGCGGGAGAUUAACAAAAGGUUGAGCAAAUCUCAACUUUUUCAAACUGUUAUGAGCUAGAAGGAAUUUAGAGAUAAGAGUUCUGCAGAGGUAGAACUGUACCAAUUCAUGCUAAAAUCGAGGUGAAAUAAUUAAACCCCAUUCUCCUCAGCUUGUCAAAUGCAAAUUUAUGAUGUAAGAAUCUGAUUCUCAUAAUAAAUUAAAUUUCCAUGCUGCUGAAAGUCUUGUUUUACCAUUUGUGAAAUCAUGAGUUGCUACUGUGCACAUCUUGUUAUAUAUGUUAGGAAGUGAUGGGAACACACAGAAAAGCCAGGAUGAAUAUUAAAAGUUAUUAUAUCAGGAUUUCUUUGAUCCCUAGAUGAUGGUGAUGAUGACGAUAAUAGGAGUAGUAGUAAAAGAAAAAGAAGAAACUGUGCAAAUACUAAGACACCUGGGGCUAGAUUUACAGAGCGAUUUAGUCAUGGUGAUACUCACUAUCACCAUGCCUAACUUAGGCACUUAGAAAAUCACUGGGAUUCACAAACUUUGAUCUCAGCAUCUAGGCUCCCCAUACAAUGAGUGGGGGAGAGACCAAGCACUGCAGUGCAGACUGGGAUACACAAAAGCCAGCAUGUAAACCAGUUCAUUGCCUAAAAUAGCCAUUUGGAGAUGCCAAGGUGAGUGGUAAGUAGUCUGCUUGGGUUUCUCAGCUGCAAACCUUCUCUUGGCAUUAAGUGCCUAUGAGGAAGACUUUUCUUGUAACUUUUAACCCAGUGGUCCAGGUAGUUAUCUGGGAUGUGGCAGACUUCUAGUUCAAAUCCCCUAUCUAUCUGAGGGGGAGCAGGAUUUGAAUGAGAAUCUGUCACGAGUGCCUUAAUUGUUGUGCUAUGGGAUAUUCUGAUGU